AACAUGCGAUGGGGGUGGGACUGAGAGCAGGGCCUCCCCAGAAGAUCUUAACAAUCACAUCGGAUCAUAAAGGGAGAUGCGUUCAGACAGGUAAGCUGGACUGGAACUGUUAAGGGUUUUAUAGGCUAAAGCUAGCCCUUUGAGUUGUGCUCAGAAGCUAAUUGGCAGCCAGUGGAGUUGACAUAACAGGGGCAUUGUAUGUUCGUUGUACACCACUCUGGUUGAUCUGUUGGACUACUUGAAGCUUCCAAACAGUUUUCAGAGGCAACCUUACAUAGUUGCAGUAGUCUAUGCAAGAUGUAACCAGAGCAUGGACCACUGGCCAAGACUGACUUCCCAAGGUUCGGGCACAACUGGCGCACAAGAUUUAAUUGUGUGAAGGUUCCCUUGGCCACCGCUGAAACCUGGGGUUCCAGGCUCAGCAGUGAAUCCAGGAGAACUCAUAAGCUGCGAAUCUGCGCCUGCAAUGGGGAGUGCAACCCCAUCCAGCACAGGCUGUAACCCUAUAUCUUCUUCGGCCUUAUGACUGACCAGGAGUACUUCUCUUCAGCGUAUUAUGAAAGAAAAAACCUCAGAAGUUUACAAAUGUUUGUAUAGUGGAGAAUAAAGGUGACAUAACAUCUAUAUAACAUCUUAAGUAGCAUUCAAUAAAAUUAUAUUUGUUUUUAAAGAUAAGCAUGGCUAUACUAUGCUUGCUUCAGUGUAAUAGUAAAGUUGAACGAAGAGCCUAAAAUAAGAUCCAUAUAUACAGAGACAGGUGUAGAUCUUGGUAGCAACAUUACACUUGGGAAAGUGUGGAUAUAUGAGAUGGGAUCUUCACAGGUGGUAAUUCGUAUUUUGAUCACCAUGUUAGGAUCAUAACGUGAACCCUCUAAAUAAGUGGAAACUUGGUUGAUGGAUCUGCUUUUGCUGUUCAGAAGGAAAUAGAAGUGGUGAAGAUUUUCAGCUGGAAGCCUGGGAAAGUGUUUCUAGAUCUGAUGAGAAGGGUAGGAGAGAAGGCGACAGACACUUUCAGUGAUGCUGAAUCCUUUGAAGAUUUGGAGAUAGACAGUGAAGAGUAUUGGGAAUCGGAUGGUGAAGAUAGCAGUGUGCCCACCACCAGUACAACUUCUCCUGAGAUGAAAGUUACACCCCAGCAUGAGAAAGAGGACUGGGAUGCAGAGGUGGCAGAUACUGAAAACCGAAACAAUCCUUAUGAUUUUGAUGAUAUUAUUCACUGUGGAGAUUGCUCGGCUAAGGAUCAAGCAGCACCGUAUUCAGUUCAAGGACAUCUUUUGUAUGACCCCAGCUUACACCAUGUAGCACCACUGACUUUGAAACACAUAGAGGCUGUGUUGGUGGAUGGCCAGUUUGAUGAUGCUGUUGACUGAGAAGUAUUCAGGACUGGAAUAUCAACAACAAGACUGGUAAGCAUAGGCAUAAAAAAUGCUAAGAAGAACCACAUAUAGAAAGCCACGCAUAGCCUAAAUGUAGCACAAAUCAGAUAUUGAACCAUAAGUUACAAUUAUAGUAUUGGAAUGUUAUUAAGAUUACACAACACAACAGAUUUCUUGCAUAAUGGCAUUUUGGUGUUUUUAAAAAAGUACCUUUCAGGGACUGAGAUAUUGGGUAAUUACAAAACAUUCAUUUUAAGCAUGCAGAAUGUAAUCAUGCAAAAUUAUUUCCAAAAAAAUAAUUUGUGGGCUGGGACUUAUUUCUGCUAAGUAAUUAUAACAUUACUAGUGUUUCCCGGGUUCACAUUUUCUUUGUGUCUCUUUCUUUCUUUCCUUCCUCCCUGUCCCUCAUACACUUUCUCCCUUUCUCUUUUCUUGCUUUUAUUUUCUUCCUUCCUUCCUCUUCCCUUAUUUUGUUUCUUCUUUUCUGUUCUUUUUCUUCAUGGCUCUUUCUUUCCAAUUUAACUGCCAUGGUUCCAUCCUAAGGAACCUUGGGUUUUGCUGUUCAGGAAGGGGCCUUUGGAAUCCCCAGCCAGUAAACUUCAGGGCCUCUGAUCCAACUACAAUCCCCAAGUUUCCAUAGGAUGUUGUCAUGGCAGUUAAAGGAGAACAGGGUGCUAUAAUUGGGAUAGUGUGAAUGGGCACCUGGUAUUCUAACUUUCUUAUUAAUCGGUAUUGACUUUUCCUCAUAUUUAGAACUUAUUUUUAGAAAUAGAUUUAUAUUUAGUAUAUGUUUGUAUCAUAUUCAGGUUGUCUGCAGGAUCCCUCUUUAUUAACACUUGUGUUUAUGUUUGUUCUCAACACUGGAGCCGAAAUAUUACUUCUAAAUUGGAUUUCUUCAUGAAAACGAUCUAAGAUGCAACAGAUACCAUUUCCUACUCUGUAGGCUUUGUAUUUGAGAAGAUUGAAUGACAUAUAACAUUAUAAACUGGACUGCUGGAAGUUUAGGCAAGGAGAUAGAUGACAAUUUCUAAUUUAAGUUGUCUUAGAAAUGGUUUGGGUUUAUUUUAAAGUUAUGAAUGUGAUUAUUGCAAUUCAGAAGCUGAUCAUUAUGUUCGCCUGUAAAUCAUGCAAUGUUAUUUUUUAUUUUUAAAAAAUUGUGUUGUUGUAUAUUUUUCUGUUACAAAUUCUGCAUCAUCAUUUGUGCAGUUCAGUUUCUUGAAUGUAUUUAUUUAUUUGAAGCUGGGGCCCUCAACCAUGCUGGAGACAUAGAUCUUGGUGGGGUGACUCCUGAAUAAAACAGGCUGUGUAAUGGUUUAGGCAUUGUGCGUGUGUGUGUUUCAUUUAUUGUGUACUCUGGGAGCCUUCCUAGAUUUAUUUAUUUUUACCCCACCUCUUUACCAUUAAAGGGACUCAAGGUGGAUAACAAUAAAUAUGACACACUGAAAAUUAAAACAAUGUAUAUGCAUUAAAAUAUAGAUAUACAUAUUUGUGUAUGAUUAAACAUUACACAUUAAAAUAUUUAAAUGCAUUAAAACUCCAUACCCAUCCCAAAAUCCCAAUCACACAUUUUCAAAAGCCCAUUUCUCAUGAGUUGAUAAUGCCUAUUUGCAGAGAAACAGUCUCAUGUGUGUACAAACAGAGACAUGUGACUACAUUAUGAGUGCAUCUGUUUGAUACAGUAGAUACCUAACCCUUGAUUGAGUAUGUUCACUUUCAACUGACUGAUUUAUAUCAUUAACUGUCUGGAUUUACAGACUCCAAAUCCAUGAUUUCCACUGACUAUAGGUUGUUAAAUGCUAUACAUGAAAUGGUGACGAUCAGGGCCGGUUCAAGGCUAUACGCAACUACGCGGCCGCCGGUGGCACUGUUGUCCCAAGGCGCCAGAGGCGCCUGUGCGUGAGCAUGCGCACGCGCGCACCCUGCCUCCUCCUUCCAGCCAAGGUUUCAAUCGGAAACCCCACACCAACAUUCACGCACAGCACCAUCGCCCAAAAGCGCCCUCCCUCUUCUCCCUCCCUCCUUCCUCUUUUACCUGGUCUCCCUUUCUGCCUUGAAGCCAGGCUUUGAGGCUGCGGAGGGGCGGGGGCGGGGCCUAAGGGCACGGAGGGCACGCACCUCCCAGGAGACCACGCCCCCUGCUUCCGAAGGAGUGCCUUGGAAGUGCCCUUCGGCCCCGCCCCCUCUGCAGCCUGCGCGUGGCCUGAUCAAGAUGGCGGUUCCCAUGGGCUGUCUGGCCAUGUUCCAAAAGCAUUCUCUCCUGACGUUUUGCCUGCAUCUAUGGCAGGCACCCUCAGUGGUUGCAAGGUCUGUUGGAAACAAAGCAAGUGGGGUUUAUAUAUCUGUGGAAUGUUCAGGGUGGGGAAAAGAACUCUUGUCUGAGGCAUGUGUGAAUGUUGCAAAUGGCCACCGUUAUUAGCAUUAAAUAUCCUUGCAGCUUCAAAGCCUGGCUGCUUUUUGCCUGGGGUAAUCCUUUGUUGGGAGGUGUUAGCUUGCCCUGAUUGAGGAUCCCCUGGUGCCCUCCCUCUUCUUCCCUCCCUCCCUCUCUCCUUCUUCUCCCUCCUCUGCCUUUCUGGCCUUCUUUCUUCCUCUUUCCCCUUCCUUCCUUCCUUCCUUCCUUCUUUCUUCCCUCCCUUCCUCCCUCCUUUCUUCCUCAUCUCCUUUCUACGUUUUUCCAGUCUCUCUGCUGAGUUUAUAGCUAUAUUCCAGAAGCAUUCUCUUCUGAUGUUUCGCCUGCCUCUAUGGCAGGCACCCUCAGUGGUUGCGAGGUCUGUUGGAAACAAAGCAAGUGGGGUUUAUAUAUCUGUGGGGAAAAGGGUGGGGAAAAGAACUGUUGUCUGAGGCACGUGUGAAUGUUGCAAAUGGCCACCGUUAUUAGCAUUAAAUAUCCUUGCAGCUUCAAAGCCUGGCUGCUUUUUGCCUGGGGUAAUCCUUUGUUGGGAGGUGUUAGCUUGCCCUGAUUGAGGAUCCCCCUCUUCUUCCUCCCUCCCUCCCUCUCUCCCUCCUUCUCUCAGUUGUUGUGAGGUCUCUUGGAAAUUAGGCAAAUGGGGUUUAUGUAUCUGUGGAAGGUUCAGGGUGGGGAAAAGAACUCUUGUCUG
This is a long non-coding RNA of Anolis carolinensis (green anole), 4471 nucleotides long. Lineage: Eukaryota; Metazoa; Chordata; Lepidosauria; Squamata; Anolidae. The record is from Ensembl.